RNAcentral lists this ribosomal RNA (301 nucleotides) under uncultured bacterium. RNAcentral describes it as "partial 16S ribosomal RNA". It matches the Rfam family "Bacterial small subunit ribosomal RNA", at positions 509 to 807 of the family's 1533-position model. The record is from RNAcentral.
CAGCCGCCGCGGUAAUACGUAGGUGGCAAGCGUUGUCCGGAAUUAUUGGGCGUAAAGGGCUCGCAGGCGGUUUCUUAAGUCUGAUGUGAAAGCCCCCGGCUCAACCGGGAAGGGUCAUUGGAAACUGGGAAACUUGAGUGCAGAAGAGGAGAGUGGAAUUCCACGUGUAGCGGUGAAAUGCGUAGAGAUGUGGAGGAACACCAGUGGCGAAGGCGACUCUCUGGUCUGUAACUGACGCUGAGGAGCGAAAGCGUGGGGAGCGAACAGGAUUAGAUACCCCUGUAGUCCCUGUCUCUUAUAC